GCCUCUGUGGCGCAAUUGGCUAGCGCGUUCGGCUGUUAACCGGAAGGCUGGUGGUUCGAUCCCACCCAGUGGCG
This 74-nucleotide transfer RNA is filed under the name Daphnia pulicaria. RNAcentral's name for it is "tRNA-Asn". It matches the Rfam family "tRNA". From Rfam's summary of the family: Transfer RNA (tRNA) molecules are approximately 80 nucleotides in length. Their secondary structure includes four short double-helical elements and three loops (D, anti-codon, and T loops). The record is from RNAcentral. Lineage: Eukaryota; Metazoa; Arthropoda; Branchiopoda; Diplostraca; Daphniidae.